AAUAUUCGAAGAGAACCAAAACUACUCGAUAAGGAUCUGAAAAGUAGUCGAAGGCUGCUACACUCGACUAGGAAGCACUCGGGGGCUUGUCGGGGAUAGAUCCCCAGUACCCGCAAGGAAGUAAGAAGACGGACUCCUACUAGGAUUUUCUCUAUAAUCCUCCUAGAACUCAUACCAUGUAAUCCUACUAGGACUCUUCCUUGUAAUCGGCUAGUAAUCCCGCCCCCUGGAGUAUAUAAAGAAGGGCAGGGUUCCUAGAUCGGUAAGCCAAGACCUCAUAGAACCACAACAGAGGAUCAAAUCCUCGACACCAAACAACACCUAAGCACAGGGCACAAUAUACAACACCCCAAACAGAACGUAGGGUAUUACUCUGGCGGUCCGAACCUGUAUAAAUCUGUGUCUUGUGUCUUCGCUUUUACCUUCGAGUUUCAGGUCCGACGAUCCCCCACCAACCAAUCUACUACCUCGGAAUACCCCUCGGUAGGUCGCCGAGUAUAAAACACCAACAAAUGUUG
This 518-nucleotide long non-coding RNA is filed under the name Setaria viridis. Its description in RNAcentral is "long non-coding RNA (SVIR_LNC008115)". Lineage: Eukaryota; Viridiplantae; Streptophyta; Magnoliopsida; Poales; Poaceae. The record is from RNAcentral.